This 1345-nucleotide ribosomal RNA is filed under the name uncultured bacterium. RNAcentral's name for it is "bacterial SSU rRNA". It matches the Rfam family "Bacterial small subunit ribosomal RNA", at positions 28 to 1381 of the family's 1533-position model. The record is from RNAcentral.
GACGAACGCUGGCGGCGUGCUUAACACAUGCAAGUCGAACGGAAAGGCCCUGCUUUUGUGGGGCGCUCUAGUGGCCAACGGGUGAGUAACACAUGAGUAACCUGCCCUUGACUUUGGUAUAGCUUCAUGAAACUGGGGCUAGUACAGGAUAGGAGCUCCUGCUGCAUGGAGGGGGUUGGAAAGUUUCUGCGGUUGGUGAUGGACUCACGGCUUAUCAUCUUGUUGGCGGGGUAGUGGCUUACCAAGGCUUUGACGGGAAGACCGCCUGAGAGGGUGACCGGACAGAUUGCCACUGAGAUACUGACCAGACUCCUACAGUACGACGCAAUGCGGAAUAUUGCACUAUGGGCCGAAGCCUGAUGCUCCGACGCCGCCUGCUGGAUGACAGGCUUCGGGUUGUAUACCGCUUUCACCUGUGACGAAUCGUGAUUGACUCUAACGGGUGAGAAAGCACCCGCUAACUACAUGACUACAGCCGCGGUGAUACGUAGGGUGCGAGCGUCUCCGUAUUCUGGGGUGUAAAGGUCUAAUAGGAGGUAGAUCGCGUCGUAAGUGUAUUCUUGAGGCUUAACCCUGAGCGUGCUUCGAUCACGGCUUGACUGAUGCAUGGUAGUAGAGACUGCAUUUCCUGAUGUAGCGGUGGAACGCGCAGAUAUCAGGAUGAACACCAGUAGUGAAGGCGGUUAUGUGGGCCUCUCCAGCGCAUGAGACGCGAAAGCGUCAAGAGCGAACAGGCUUACAUGCCUUGAUAGUCCACGCUGUAAACGCUGGGUACUAGGUGUGGGGUCCAUUCCACGGGUUCUGUGCCGUAGACUAACGCUUCAAGUACCCUCCCUGGGGAGUACGGCCCCAAGGCUGAAACUCAUCGGAAUAGUCGGGGCCCCGCACAACCGGCGGAGCAUCAGGAGUAAUUAGAUGCAACGCGUAGAGCCUCACUUGCGUGUGACAUGGAUCGGGAGCGCUCAGAGAUGGGUGUGCCUCCUUUGGGGUCGUUUCACAGGUGGUGCAUGGCUGUUGUCAGCUCGUGUCGUGAGAGGGUGGGUUAAGUCCCGCAACGAGCGCCACCCUCGUUCAUUGUUGCCAGCCCGUUAUGGUGGGGCCUCAGUGGAGCCCGCCCGCGUCAACUCGGAGGAAGGUGGGGAAGACGUCAAGUCAUCAUGCCCCUUAUGUUCAGGGCUUCCCCCAUGGUACAAUGGCUGGUACCGAGAGUGGCGAGCCUGUGAGGGUGAGUGAAUUUCGGAAAGCCGGUCUCAGUUCGGAUUGGGGUCUGCAACUCGACCUCAUGAAGUCGGAGUCGCUAGUAAUCGCAGAUCAGCCACGGUGCGGUGAAUACGUUCCCGGGCCU